CGGGGGACAAAGUGACAGGUGGUGCAUGGUUGUCGUCAGCUCGUGUCGUGAGAUGUUGGGUUAAGUCCCGCAACGAGCGCAACCCUUAAGCUUAGUUGCCAUCAUUAAGUUGGGCACUCUAAGUUGACUGCCGGUGACAAACCGGAGGAAGGUGGGGAUGACGUCAAAUCAUCAUGCCCCUUAUGAUUUGGGCUACACACGUGCUACAAUGGACAAUACAAAGGGCAGCGAAACCGCGAGGUCAAGCAAAUCCCAUAAAGUUGUUCUCAGUUCGGAUUGUAGUCUGCAACUCGACUACAUGAAGCUGGAAUCGCUAGUAAUCGUAGAUCAGCAUGCUACGGUGAAUACGUUCCCGGGUCUUGUACACACCGCCCGUCACACCACGAGAGUUUGUAACACCCGAAGCCGGUGGAGUAACCUUUUAGGAGCUAGCCGUCGAAGGUGGGACAAAUGAUUGGGGUGAAGUCGUAACAAGGUAGCCGUAUCGGAAGGUGCGGCUGGAUCACCUCCUUU
Molecule: ribosomal RNA, 513 nt
Filed under: Staphylococcus aureus
Lineage: Bacteria; Bacillati; Bacillota; Bacilli; Caryophanales; Staphylococcaceae
Description: bacterial SSU rRNA
Rfam family: Bacterial small subunit ribosomal RNA
Source: RNAcentral